RNAcentral lists this transfer RNA (72 nucleotides) under Camelus bactrianus (Bactrian camel). It matches the Rfam family "tRNA". Rfam says of the family: Transfer RNA (tRNA) molecules are approximately 80 nucleotides in length. Their secondary structure includes four short double-helical elements and three loops (D, anti-codon, and T loops). Further hydrogen bonds mediate the characteristic L-shaped molecular structure. tRNAs have two regions of fundamental functional importance: the anti-codon, which is responsible for specific mRNA codon recognition, and the 3' end, to which the tRNAs corresponding amino acid is attached (by aminoacyl-tRNA synthetases). tRNAs cope with the degeneracy of the genetic code in two manners: having more than one tRNA (with a specific anti-codon) for a particular amino acid; and 'wobble' base-pairing, i.e. permitting non-standard base-pairing at the 3rd anti-codon position. Lineage: Eukaryota; Metazoa; Chordata; Mammalia; Artiodactyla; Camelidae. RNAcentral also lists the same sequence under 1 other name. The record is from Rfam by way of RNAcentral.
GAGGGUGUAGUUCAGUGGCAGAGUACGUGCUUAGCAUGCACAGGGUCCUGGGUUCAGUCCCCAGUACCUCCA